RNAcentral lists this small RNA (17 nucleotides) under Arabidopsis thaliana (thale cress). Its description in RNAcentral is "ATSL149630". The record is from RNAcentral. Lineage: Eukaryota; Viridiplantae; Streptophyta; Magnoliopsida; Brassicales; Brassicaceae.
UUUUUUGUAUUUUUUUA